CCCGAAUUAAAAUGAGCUUUUAAAGAUUUGUUGAGAACAUAUAAGAUAUAUGGCAAUAUAUAAUUAAAAAUUUUUAAAAGGGGCCACAUACCACGCAUUUUAUAUUACCUGGUUUAUUAUUUUAAUUAUCUAAGUAAUAUUAAUAUUAGUAUUAAAUUAUUUUAUAAAGGAUAAGCUUUAUAAAAAGAAAAUUGGAAAAACUUAUUUUAAAAAUAAGCUUAAAAUCAGCUAUUUUACCCCGUUAUAGGAGUUUAAUAAUAAUAAUAAUAAAAAUCAAAAAAAAGUAAUAUUUUAAAAGAAACAAGUUUUUAAUUAAUAAUGGUAAAAUAAAUAUUUAAAAUUAAAUCAAAUAUCUUCUAAAUCUUAAAUACAAAGUUAUUUAUAACUUAUAUAAGCAAGGAACUCGGCAAAAAGAUUUUCGACUGUUUAUCAAAAACAUUGCCUUUUGUAAUAAUAUAUAAGGUAUAUUCUGCCCAGUGAAGAAUUCAACGGCCGCGGUAUCCUGACCGUGCAAAGGUAGCAUAAUCACUUGCCCCUUAAUUAGGGGCUAGAAUGAAAGAAUUAACGAAAAAUCAACUGUCUCACUUAUAUUAUUAAAAUUUAAUUUUUAGGUGAAGAAGCCUAAAUAAAAAUAAAAGACAAGAAGACCCUAUCAAGCUUUAAUUAAUUAAUUAUAUUAUUAAUAGUAAAAAUUUUUAUUGGGGCGAUAUGAAAUAUUAAAAUCCAUUUCUAAUAAUAAGAAUAAUAAUUCUUUAUAAUUAACUUCUUAAAAAUUUAAAAAAGCUACUGUAGGGAUAACAGGCUAAUAUUUCUUGAGAGCUCUUAUCAACAGAAAUGAUUGGCACCUCGAUGUUGGCUUUGGAUACCAAGUUUGUGCAGAAGCAAACUAUGGUGGUUUGUUCAACCAUAAAAUUCCUACAUGAGCUGAGUUCAGACCGACGUAAGUCAGGUUAGGUUCUAUCUUUAUUAUAAAUAUAAAUAGUACGAAAGGACCUUUAUAU
Molecule: ribosomal RNA, 1001 nt
Filed under: Eusyllis blomstrandi
Lineage: Eukaryota; Metazoa; Annelida; Polychaeta; Phyllodocida; Syllidae
Description: 16S ribosomal RNA
Rfam family: Bacterial large subunit ribosomal RNA (bases 607-1001)
Source: RNAcentral